AAAACUUUCAACAACGGAUCUCUUGGUUCUCGUAUCGAUGAAGAACGUAGCGAAUUACGAUAAGUAUCAUGAGUUGCAGACGUGAAUCAUUAAUUUUUGAACGCACAUUGCAC
This 113-nucleotide ribosomal RNA is filed under the name Metschnikowia borealis. RNAcentral describes it as "5.8S ribosomal RNA". It matches the Rfam family "5.8S ribosomal RNA", at positions 1 to 116 of the family's 154-position model. From Rfam's summary of the family: 5.8S ribosomal RNA (5.8S rRNA) is a component of the large subunit of the eukaryotic ribosome. It is transcribed by RNA polymerase I as part of the 45S precursor that also contains 18S and 28S rRNA. The record is from RNAcentral. Lineage: Eukaryota; Fungi; Ascomycota; Pichiomycetes; Serinales; Metschnikowiaceae. RNAcentral also lists the same sequence under 2 other names.